RNAcentral lists this ribosomal RNA (260 nucleotides) under uncultured archaeon. RNAcentral describes it as "partial 16S ribosomal RNA". It matches the Rfam family "Archaeal small subunit ribosomal RNA", at positions 748 to 1008 of the family's 1478-position model. The record is from RNAcentral.
CAGCCGUAAACAAUGUGCGUUAGGUGUGUCGGUAACCACGCGUUACUGAUGCGCCGAAGAGAAAUCGUGAAACGCACCACCUGGGAAGUACGGUCGCAAGGCUGAAACUUAAAGGAAUUGGCGGGGGAGCACCACAACAGGUGGAGCCUGCGGUUAAUUGGAUUCAACGCCGGACAUCUCACCGGAUAAGACAGCUGAAUGAUUGUCAAUCUGAAGGUUUUACAUGACUAGCUGAGAGGUGGUGCAUGGCGUCAGUGACU